Small nucleolar RNA from Meriones unguiculatus (Mongolian gerbil), 130 nucleotides. NCBI's taxonomy places the organism in Eukaryota, Metazoa, Chordata, Mammalia, Rodentia, Muridae. The record is from Ensembl.
CCUCACCCAAGAAGCAUUGCAGGUGGCUGCUGUGUCACAUGUGUGUCAGUAGGUGACAGAGAAGAGAGAGGUUGUGUCUACACUCUGCGUUCUGACGUAUGAAUGUCUUGAUGAUUAGUAGCCUAACACU